GGGUGUUGUAAAUGGGUAACCAUU
This 24-nucleotide non-coding RNA is filed under the name Arabidopsis thaliana (thale cress). The record is from RNAcentral. Lineage: Eukaryota; Viridiplantae; Streptophyta; Magnoliopsida; Brassicales; Brassicaceae.